RNAcentral lists this ribosomal RNA (436 nucleotides) under uncultured bacterium. Its description in RNAcentral is "bacterial SSU rRNA". It matches the Rfam family "Bacterial small subunit ribosomal RNA", at positions 29 to 507 of the family's 1533-position model. The record is from RNAcentral.
AGCGAACGCUGGCGGAAUGCUUAACACAUGCAAGUCGCACGGGGGCUUCGGCCUUAGUGGCGGACGGGUGAGUAACGCGUAGGAAUGUGUCCGAGGGUGGGGGAUAACGUUGGGAAACUGACGCUAAUACCGCAUAUCCCCUGAGGGGGGAAAGCAGAGAUGCGCCCACGGAGCAGCCUGCGUCCGAUUAGCUAGUUGGUUAGGUAAAGGCUGACCAAGGCGACGAUCGGUAGCUGGUCUGAGAGGAUGAUCAGCCACACUGGAACUGAGACACGGUCCAGACUCCUACGGGAGGCAGCAGUGGGGAAUAUUGGACAAUGGGCGCAAGCCUGAUCCAGCAAUUCCGCGUGGGUGAAGAAGGUCUUCGGAUUGUAAAGCCCUUUCGUUGGGGACGAUGAUGACGGUACCCUAAGAAUAAGGUCCGGCUAACUUCGUG